UUUUAUGUGCUACUAAUACAGUCAAACUUGCCUUGGCGACCCCUUUAACUACAGCCUUUUCCUCUUAACAGCAACUUUUGUUGCAGUUACAGUGUCUCACAAAUUUAUUUUUUAGUUGGUUCAAAAACAGUGAACACCGCUACCAGCAGCGUGCGGUCAGAAUCACUGCGCUAGUGGUCUGCUGUCAGCGGCUUAGGCAAAUUCCAUUUUAUGAUGGUGAUAUUGUAUUAGUUUUUGGCAAGUGGAGAAAGUAGGUCUCCUUUUUGUCUGAUACUCCCAUGUAACAUCUGUAUUCUUUGGCACUUAUUACUCAAUCUGAUAGACACUUUUUUCCACGGGAACCCUCACUUAUUAUAUACCAAAAGAAAGAGAAUUUUAUUGCCGUUUUGGGAGAACCCGGUGUGCAUGAAUAUGUGAGCAUCACAAAUAGUUCCAAGAGUUCCGCAUGUUUUAGUUUCACUUCUGAAAUGGUUUUUGUCAUGAGUGCCUUUUAACUUAUUAUGUACCAUUUCCUGCCGUUCAAACCAAAUGGGAAUUGUUCCUUAUUAACUUUAAGUUCUUUGUUUUGCUCUAUGAAGUGUUCUUUUCUGAGUUUACAGUAAGUAAACUGAUUUUUUAAUGUUUCCAAGUGGUUGAGCGCUAUGGUUUACAUAAUUUUAAUUGAUUCAAGAUGGCGGACCGAUCAGCUGAGGGGCGUAUUUCAUCGAUGCUGAAUGAUCUCGAUCGGAUUGGAAUGAGACAAAUCACAGACGAAAAUGAAUUGAAUGAACUGAUUAUUGAUUAUUUCAAUGCAAGACCUCUUGAUUGUGAAGACAGUAGAUUUUAGUUUGGAGGAGACACAUGAUGAGCCAAUUACGACGACGGUGGCCGUGACACACCCACACACACCCACACCCCCCUGCUCAUGAUCUCGAACUUCAUGAAGAAGUCCUGGUUCCUGUUCAACCAGUUCGCGUAACAUCAUCAGAAGGUGCAGUUGCUGGCCAAGGACCUUCGCAGCCCCCCUCCCAUGCUCCCAGUGAAGUAGAUCCAGAGUCCCCGACUGCUGCUCUACAACAAGGUGAUGCUGACCAGUCCAGUAUUGCUGAAGAAGAGGAUGAUGCCUGAGGGGUGACCUUCAUGGAGAACGUGACAGCCUUUGUUGUGCCAGAUGGUAAGGGUGUGGAGCAGUCAGCUUUGAAGGACCUGAAGUGCUGCUGCAAGCUCAAUGAUGGCCAGCUUAGCCACAGCCAGUUCGAAUCAGCUGCUGUUGACGACCUGUGUUUGUCUUUUGCUGGUAUGACAGGAGAGGAGCAUGACAUUGUUAUGUUGGCUCAGCUUUGCUGUGGCAUGCAUAUGGGAGACACUGUUAAACAUUCUAGAAAAAUCAAAGACCUACAAGCGACGAGGACUACUUAUUAUUUGUAUGAACCUGUGAUUUUUGGAGAAUUUUAAAAAUAUAUUCUCAACAUGGGCCGAGAUAAAUUUAAUGCCUUUAUUGCACAUUUUAAGGCUGCUGGAAUUGAGGCCAGGCAACACAAAUUAUCUAAGAGGGCCCCAUAACAUGCUCUGUCUUUUGAAGAUACAAAAGCUGUGGUAGACUUCAUUGUCAACUUUGCUGAGCUCCAUGCUGUUGUGCUUCCAAGACGUCAGCCUGGUCACUGGAACACCAUGUAUGUAUAGUAUAAGGUUUUACGGCGCUCGCAACUGCUAAGGUCAUAUGAGCGCGCUGGAACACCAGUGUCAAACUGCUUCCUACAAAUGUAAGGACGUCAGCCUGGUCACUGGAACACCAGUGUCAAACUGCUUCCUACAAAUGUAACUAAGAAGAAGGUGUAUGAUGCUUACUGAGCCUCUGCCACUGUCAGUGACAGAUGCAUUGUAAGUAGGCUCACAUUCAAUCAUUUAUGGAAGCAGUUGACACUGUUUGUCACAACCAUGCACCCUGCAACUGAUCUUUGUUGGUUUUGUCAGAAGAAUUCGGGUCACCUCUUGCGUACAGCCAAUCUGCCAUAUGCUGAAGAAGGCCAAGCAGUUUUGGAAAUGCUAGAUCAUUUAGAAAAGGCUUCUAAAGAACGCUCCUAUUAUCAGCAGGUUUGCGAAGCCGCUAAAAAUAGUUUGCCAGCUGGUACCACUCUUGGUCAAGAAGAUCGGAGGAGCUGUUCUUUUGAUGGAAUGUAUCAUUAUAGCUUUGAUUUUGCACAGCAAGUGCACUACCCGAGCUACCCAUUGCAGCCGGGUCCGAUAUUUUUUAAAACUCCAAGGAAGUGUGGCUUGUUUGGAGUUACCUGUAAGACAAUACCUUGUCAGGUAAAUAUUCUUUUAGAGGAAUGUGUUUCAGCUGGUAAAGGGGCCAUUUGUGUUGUGUCUCUUCAUUAUUUUUUUGAAAAUUAUGGCAUAAGAGCUGCAUGCUGAAAACUGCAGUGGACAAAAUGAAAAUAACUGCAUGAUGCAGUAUCGUAUGUGGAUAGUCCUUACAGGAAGUCACAUGAGUAUUAAGCUGUCAUUUCUUUUGACAGGACAUACAAAGUUUAGUUGUGACUAGUGUUUUGGUCUUUUCAAAUGCAAGUUUAAGAGUGACAAAAGUUGACUGCCUGGAAGACAUUGCUAAUAUUGUCAGUGAGUCUGCCACAUGCAAUGUCGCAGUUAUGUGGAACUGAGGCAGGGGAUGUUUUGGUGCCGGUAUAUGACUUGACCAAAUUUCUUGGAAAGUUUUUUAAGAAAAAUGAUUGGAAUAAAAAAUACCACCAUUUUCAGUUCCAGGUUGACAGCACAUCUGUAAAAUGUAAAUAAUGUGUUGACUCUGAUCCAAUGGAUUUUGUUUUAUUGUCCAAGGCUCUUGAUUUUAAUUUAAUACCUGAAAUUGUUGUUCCUGCUGGACUUGAUCCAUCAGAUCAAGGCAGUGGUAUUUGUUGAUGAAAUUAGACGUUUUAUUAGUGGAGAGAUGAAAGACAGAGUGACCCCUCUUCCAAAAUGCUCAAAGCCUACCCAAGUGAGCAUGUGUGUACAUGAUAGUGAUGAGAAGAGGGUCCAUCAGAGCCGAAAGCCAGGAAGUGGGGAAAGGGGUGUCUCGACUACGGAUAAGGGGAAGAAAAAGUAGCGUUUUUUUUGUGGGUUUUUUUUAAAGUUUUAAAGAUUCAUUGAGUACUCUAUUUUAAUUUGAACAUUAUUUUAUUUCUAUUAUUCUGACAUUGAACUUGCUGUGGUGAAUUGACAACUUUCAUAAUUUUGUUGUGUGUUGGUUCUGUAGAUGUGUUUUGGCAGCUUUGAUCAGAAGUUUCAUGUUAAUGUCGGUGGUCAUUUCCUUUUUUUUUAGUGUAGGUGUUUUUAUAUCCACGUGCACACAAUUAAGAUCGUGUAGGAGGUGUGUUUCAACUCUGUCUGUCUGGGAGGGACAAUCGGGCCGGAGAGGUACACAACAACUCAGCAGAAAGACUGAGAUAAAUAAAAAUUCACCCCACAUGGAAGUCAAACUCUUCUACAUGUGCUGGUCUGUUGUGAGUGAGUGACAUGAUGCAGACUUAAUAUUAUUAUGUGUAAAUGAGAUUGUUGGAAAGUUUUUCUUGUAUUGUGACAACGUGUUCCCCAUUGGAAUAUACAGUCUGUGGUACUGGUAAUCUGGGUUUUUUUUCUCGUAAUGACGUAACGGUAAAAUGUUACUCAUGGAGGUCAAUUUCCAACUGCAAUUUACUUUGAAUUUAUUUGGUGCAUACCCUAGAGCUCUGGUAUAUCUAAUAUUACUAAUAGUUAUGUCAGGUUUUACUUAUAUGUCAGCAUGCAUCAUUCUUUUCAAUGUACUCAAAUAGAGAUUGAAAAUCUUGGUGCUUUAGUUUCGCAAAGUUACCAAUUUGCUGAAUUGACUUAAAUAAUAUUGAGGUAAUUUCCACUUCCUAUCAUUAAAAUUUUGCAACCCAAGUGAUCGUGAUCAAAUGUACUGGACUGACCUAUUUUUUAAAAAAUGCAUUAUUUUAUUUAAUAUCUCCCUUUGGGGUUUCACGGUUAAAACUGAAAUUGACGGACUUUCAUCGAAUCAAUGGAUUGUGUAGGGUAUGGAAAGAUUUUUCCAUGGCACAAGUAAAUUUUACCGACUUUAGUGACUGGUACAAUGGUAAAAAGGGAUGUCUAAAUUCUUUAGUCUGUGCCUCAAAGUGGUUACUGGUUGUUUUUAUGCAAGCGUGCUAUUCCAUACUGUUUUGGGUUUUUUUGAUGAAAGCAGGUCUAUGUAAUAUCUUUCCUGUGCAUGCAUGGAAAUGUAAAAAUGUCAACGGAUUUCUGUUGGAAAAAUAUUGUGGACAAGAAUUACUAAUAAAUGAUGUGCUUUGUGUUCUAAAAA
Aplysia californica (California sea hare) is the source of this 4312-nucleotide long non-coding RNA. RefSeq lists it as uncharacterized. The transcript is spliced from 3 exons. Lineage: Eukaryota; Metazoa; Mollusca; Gastropoda; Aplysiida; Aplysiidae. The record is from RefSeq and is a predicted model, not a curated record.